AUACGUAGGGGGCGAGCGUUGUCCGGAAUGAUUGGGCGUAAAGGGCGCGUAGGCGGCUUUGCAAGUCAGUAGUGGAAGUCCAUUUUUCAAGGAUGGAAGUGCUACAGAAACUGCGGAGCUUGAGUGCAGGAGAGGUUAUCGGAAUUCCCGGUGUAGCGGUGAAAUGCGUAGAGAUCGGGAGGAACACCAGUGGCGAAGGCGGGUAACUGGACUGCAACUGACGCUGAGGCGCGAAAGUGUGGGGAGCAAACAGGAUUAGAUACCCUGGUAGUCCACACUGUAAACGAUGAAUGCUAGGUGUAGGAGGUAUCGACCCCUUCUGCGCCGCAGUAAACACAGUAAGCAUUCCGCCUGGGGAGUACGGUCGCAAGAUUAAAACUCAAAGGAAUUGGCGGGG
This 397-nucleotide ribosomal RNA is filed under the name uncultured bacterium. RNAcentral's name for it is "partial 16S ribosomal RNA". It matches the Rfam family "Bacterial small subunit ribosomal RNA", at positions 523 to 918 of the family's 1533-position model. The record is from RNAcentral.